GUCCAGCCGACGAGUCUUAAAUAGAACGAAAAGCGCAUCCUGGAU
RNAcentral lists this non-coding RNA (45 nucleotides) under Schistosoma mattheei. The record is from RNAcentral. Lineage: Eukaryota; Metazoa; Platyhelminthes; Trematoda; Strigeidida; Schistosomatidae.